This 352-nucleotide ribosomal RNA is filed under the name uncultured Acidobacteriota bacterium. RNAcentral's name for it is "bacterial SSU rRNA". It matches the Rfam family "Bacterial small subunit ribosomal RNA", at positions 1116 to 1465 of the family's 1533-position model. Lineage: Bacteria; Pseudomonadati; Acidobacteriota. The record is from RNAcentral.
GCCCAUCAGGUCAAGCUGGGCACUCUGAAGAGACUGCCGGUGACAAACCGGAGGAAGGUGGGGAUGACGUCAAGUCAGCAUGGCCUUUAUGUCUGGGGCCACACACGUGCUACAAUGGCAGGUACAAACCGUCGCGAGACCGCAAGGUGGAGCUAAUCGGAUAAAGCCUGUCUCAGUUCGGAUUGUCGGCUGCAACUCGCCGGCAUGAAGUUGGAAUCGCUAGUAAUCGCGGAUCAGCACGCCGCGGUGAAUACGUUCCCGGGCCUUGUACACACCGCCCGUCACAUCACGAAAGCUGGCUGUACUAGAAGUCGCUGCGCUAACCCGCAAGGGAGGCAGGUGCCUAAGGUAU